AGAGUUUGAUCCUGGCUCAGGAUGAACGCUGACAGAAUGCUUAACACAUGCAAGUCGACUCGAGUCUUCGGACUUGGGUGGCGCACGGGUGAGUAACGCGUAAAGAACUUGCCUCUUAGACCGGGACAACAUCUGGAAACGGAUGCUAAUACCGGAUAUUAUGGCUUUUUUCGCAUGGAGGAAUCAUGAAAGCUAGAUGCGCUAAGAGAGAGCUUUGCGUCCCAUUAGCUAGUUGGUGAGGUAACGGCCCACCAAGGCAAUGAUGGGUAGCCGGCCUGAGAGGGUGAACGGCCACAAGGGGACUGAGACACGGCCCUUACUCCUACGGGAGGCAGCAGUGGGGAAUAUUGGACAAUGGACCACAAGUCUGAUCCAAGCAAUUCUGUGUGCACGAUGACGUUUUUCGGAAUGUAAAGUGCUUUCAGUCGGGAAGAAGUCAGUGACGGUACCGACAGAAGAAGCGACGGCUAAAUACGUGCCAGCCGCGGC
Molecule: ribosomal RNA, 489 nt
Filed under: uncultured bacterium
Lineage: Bacteria
Description: bacterial SSU rRNA
Rfam family: Bacterial small subunit ribosomal RNA
Source: RNAcentral